RNAcentral lists this ribosomal RNA (497 nucleotides) under uncultured bacterium. Its description in RNAcentral is "partial 16S ribosomal RNA". It matches the Rfam family "Bacterial small subunit ribosomal RNA", at positions 28 to 507 of the family's 1533-position model. The record is from RNAcentral.
GAUGAACGCUGGCGGCGUGCCUAAUACAUGCAAGUCGAGCGAACGGACGAGAAGCUUGCUUCUCUGAUGUUAGCGGCGGACGGGUGAGUAACACGUGGAUAACCUACCUAUAAGACUGGGAUAACUUCGGGAAACCGGAGCUAAUACCGGAUGAUAUUUUGAACCGCAUGGUUCAAAAGUGAAAGACGGUCUUGCUGUCACUUAUAGAUGGAUCCACGCUGCAUUAGCUAGUUGGUAAGGUAACGGCUUACCAAGGCAACGAUGCAUAGCCGACCUGAGAGGAUGAUCGGCCACACUGGAACUGAGACACGGUCCAGACUCCUACGGGAGGCAGCAGUAGGGAAUCUUCCGCAAUGGGCGAAAGCCUGACGGAGCAACGCCGCGUGAGUGAUGAAGGUCUUCGGAUCGUAAAACGCUGUUAUUAGGGAAGAACAUAUGUGUAAGUAACUGUGCACAUCUUGACGGUACCUAAUCAGAAAGCCACGGCUAACUACGUG